RNAcentral lists this ribosomal RNA (253 nucleotides) under uncultured bacterium. RNAcentral's name for it is "partial 16S ribosomal RNA". It matches the Rfam family "Bacterial small subunit ribosomal RNA", at positions 524 to 776 of the family's 1533-position model. The record is from RNAcentral.
GACAGAGGUUGCAAACGUUGUUCGGAAUUACUGGGCAUAAAGCGCACGUAGGCGGUCCGUUAAGUCAUGUGUGAAAUCCCCCGGCUCAACCGGGGAAUUGCGCCUGAUACUGGCGGGCUAGAGGUCGAUAGGGGUGAGCGGAACUCCAGGUGGAGCGGUGAAAUGCGUAGAUAUCUGGAGGAACACCGGUGGCGAAGGCGGCGUCCUGGACCAACACUGACACUGAGGAGCGAAAGCCAGGGGAGCAAACGGG